CCUGUGACUUAGAAUGCCUUAACCAUGUGGGAAUGCAGCCCAGUAGGUCUCAGCCUAAUUUUAUCCAGCCCCUACUCAAGAUGGAGUCACUCUGGUUCAAAUGCCUCUGACACAACCACUUCCCCUUGGCUCAUCCAUUGGCUAUUCUCCAGACCUUCUCUAACUCUUUAGAUUUUCCAGGCUGGAGUCAGACACCAACCGCAAAACAUUGUUAAGCCAGAAGGCAAAGGCAAGCCCCUACUCCAUAUCUGAACUGGGAGGAGGGGAAACCCCAGCCCUGCUCUAAAAUUCUUCUCCUCUGAAUUCUUUCCUUUUGCAGCAUGCCCAGCCUCUUGCAUAGGAAGAAGUGGUAAGCUAAGGAGAGAAAUGCAGGGUUCCUAGUACACCAAUUUUCCAACUUUUUCAUCUUGGCCCUGCUUUAAAAUGAUGCAUCUACUGUCUUCAUGCCUCAGCACAGCAGAGAAAACCAUGCUGUGUUCCAGUUUACUUUGAAUGUUUCAGUGAAAAUGAUGAAGCUGAAAAAAUGACGGAGGCCCGUUUUACAUGGUCACCUGAAUGUGGAAAAGUUGAGUUGGAGCAAAACUGGCACGGCCAUACUGGAUGGACCUCAGCAUGACCAGGACACAUUUCAGCUCAAAUCCCCUGUGCCAAGAACACAUUCUGCCAAGGACCACCACCUCUUCCCACAACUGUGAGUGGAUUUAUGUCAUCACAGGAGGUGCAAAAACGUGUGGUGAGGUAAAUGAAUUGGGAUGUCCUUGGCUGCCUGAGCAAGAGGGCAACUUUCCUGCCUUUAGAAUAGAGAAAACACAGCAGGAUAAUUAAGAGGAUGAGACUUUGGUUCCAACAGACAGUGGCUUCUCCUUCCCUAAAUUGCCCUUAUUUUGUAGUAAGUUAUAAUAUGUUUAUUUUCUACCACCUUAUUACUUCACUACGUGAACCAAAAAUAAAAUCCUAAAGCCAA
Homo sapiens (human) is the source of this 964-nucleotide long non-coding RNA. Ensembl annotates it as long intergenic non-protein coding RNA 1501. NCBI's taxonomy places the organism in Eukaryota, Metazoa, Chordata, Mammalia, Primates, Hominidae. The record is from Ensembl.